RNAcentral lists this ribosomal RNA (377 nucleotides) under uncultured bacterium. RNAcentral describes it as "bacterial SSU rRNA". It matches the Rfam family "Bacterial small subunit ribosomal RNA", at positions 523 to 898 of the family's 1533-position model. The record is from RNAcentral.
AUACGUAGGUGACAAGCGUUGUCCGGAUUUAUUGGGCGUAAAGCGAGCGCAGGCGGUCUUUUAAGUCUGAUGUGAAAGCCCACGGCUCAACCGAGGAAGGUCAUUGGAAACUGGAAGACUUGAAUGCAGAAGAGGACAGUGGAAUUCCAUGUGUAGCGGUGAAAUGCGUAGAUAUAUGGAGGAACACCAGUGGCGAAGGCGACUUUCUGGUCUGUAAUUGACGCUGAGGCUCGAAAGCGUGGGGAGCGAACAGGAUUAGAUACCCUGGUAGUCCACGCCGUAAACGAUGAGUGCUAAGUGUUGGAGGGUUUCCGCCCUUCAGUGCUGCAGCUAACGCAUUAAGCACUCCGCCUGGGGAGUACGACCGCAAGGUUGAA